RNAcentral lists this ribosomal RNA (424 nucleotides) under uncultured bacterium. Its description in RNAcentral is "bacterial SSU rRNA". It matches the Rfam family "Bacterial small subunit ribosomal RNA", at positions 33 to 502 of the family's 1533-position model. The record is from RNAcentral.
UACGCUGGCGGCACGCCUAAACAUGCAAGUCGAACGAAGUAGCAAUACUUAGUGGCAGACGGGUGAGUAACAUGUGGGUAUCUACCCUUUGGCCUGGAAUAACACGAGGAAACUUGUGCUAAUACCGGAUAAGUCUUUACGGAGAAAGCUUUAUGCACCAUUGGAUGAGCCCGCACUUGAUUAGUUUGUUGGUAGGGUAAUGGCCUACCAAGACUAUGAUCAAUAGCUGAUUUGAGAGGAUGAUCAGCCACAUUGGGACUGAGACACGGCCCAAACUCCUACGGGAGGCAGCAGUGGGGAAUCUUGCACAAUGGAGGAAACUCUGAUGCAGCGAUGCUGCGUGAGUGAAGAAGGCCUUUGGGUUGUAAAGCUCUUUCGUCGGGGAAGAAAAUGACUGUACCCGAAUAAGAAGGUCCGGCUAACU